This 441-nucleotide ribosomal RNA is filed under the name uncultured bacterium. Its description in RNAcentral is "partial 16S ribosomal RNA". It matches the Rfam family "Bacterial small subunit ribosomal RNA", at positions 338 to 795 of the family's 1533-position model. The record is from RNAcentral.
CCUACGGGUGGCAGCAGUGGGGGAUAUUGCACAAUGGGGGAAACCCUGAUGCAGCGACGCCGCGUGUGGGAAGACGGUCCUCUGGAUUGUAAACCACUGUCCCCAGGGACGAAGAUGACGGUACCUGGGGAGGAAGCUCCGGCUAACUACGUGCCAGCAGCCGCGGUAAUACGUAGGGAGCGAGCGUUGUCCGGAAUUACUGGGUGUAAAGGGAGCGUAGACGGCGUGCCAAGUCUGGUGUGAAAGGCCGGGGCUCAACCCCGGGACUGCAUUGGAAACUGGCAUGCUGGAGUGCCGGAGGGGCAAGCGGAAUUCCUAGUGUAGCGGUGAAAUGCGUAGAUAUUAGGAGGAACACCGGUGGCGAAGGCGGCUUGCUGGACGGUAACUGACGUUGAGGCUCGAAAGCGUGGGGAGCAAACAGGAUUAGAUACCCUAGUAGUC